ACAGAAUAAAAUUACUUGAUCAAAUUUUAAUUGACAUAGUUAUUUACAAUUUUGUACCCACUUAAUACCUUAUGAAGCAUGAACACAAACAAAGACACAUGACAUGACAUGACAUGACAUAUACGUUAAUAUGUCGACACUGAUAAUAAUUUUUAAAAAAUGACAUAAUCCUAUAUAAUUAUAAGUAUUUGCGUCUUGUCAUAUUGAACACUGUCGCGUGUCCAACACUAAAUCCUUUCCUUGAUCUUCAUGAUCUUCAUGCACAGAGAUGUGACAAGACAAACCCUAAAUCCUUUCCUCCCCUAAGGUUGUUAAACCAAGCAAGAAUAUACAAACACUUUUUGCUUGAAAGUGUUGUUUGUCUGCGCAAGAUUAAUGGAAUGUUGAAAACCCUCUGGCAUGGUCUGGACUCUGGAGGUUAUUAUGAAAUUGCUGAUAUAUAAGUUGAUCAUGAUAAUUUUUUUUUUGGUUUUGUGUUGAACAAGUGUUUGUUAUGUUGAUCAUGAUCAUAUAUAAUAUACAAUUGUUCCUUAAAAGUGAUAUUCAUACCUUCGAUAUCUAAAUAUUUUUUUGGUUGACAAACCUUUAUAUAAUUUAGAUUCUCUGGUUAAUGCAUUUGAACAUUCUUUGAUUAGUAGUAAAUUCAAAUUAUUGCAUAUUAUUUUAGUGAAAGUCACUCCACUACAUUGGUCAAAGGACAUUUUUGUUGCCAAAAUAAAAGAACCGAAGAAAAUUUAUUUCAACAUUUCUUUUUUCUUUUUUGACAAAAUUAUUUCAGCAUUUCUUAAAUCAAAGAAAUGGAAUAAACGAUUAAAUUGUGAACAUUUUAAAAGAUAAAGGAUCCUUCGUGUUGUUCUUAUCCUUAUCCCUUAUUAAGAAAGGCAAACACAAUAAUUUAUUUAAAAAAAUUUCAUUCGAACUUAAGUUCAUAUUUUUAGUUGUUUAUUAAGAGCUGAUUUAUAUGAAAUUUUACGGUUAAUUAAGAGCUGAUUUAAUUAAGAGCUGUUUUUAACUGUAAAAUAACCUCACAAACUUCUGGUUGUGAGUUGACAAUGUAUACGUGGCCUUUUAGUUGAUGCCAUUAUGACAAAAUCAAUAGUCUGUAAUAUUAUAUCAGGCAAUUGAAAAUUUACCUAGAGUGAUUUUCUGAAGUCCCCAUCUGUUGUAAACCAUAAGCCUUGCUCCGAUUUACAUCCCUGAUCACAUAGCAGCUGCUUGUAUAAAAUCUAAAUAAGAUUUUAAGCAGUUCAUGUACCUUCGCAUUUUCAAACUUGUUGAAGUAUAAUUACCAUUCCUAUGAAGACAUAUGACGGCGCUAGGUUAGGGAUGGUUCAGAUCUAGCUCUGAUACCAUGCAGAAAUAUGAUACAAGAGAAGUAUAUAUAGAAUACAUAGGACAGUACAGAUCACAAGUCUAGCUUAAAAAUAUUCUAACUAUAAAUGCCUAGUUUUAAAUAUAGGAAUGACAGAAAAAGACUGCUAAUUAAUUUACAGAGUCCUAAUUAGUUGUACACACAACUGUACAAAAUAGAAUUACACCAAUUUUGUAUUAAUCUUCAAUAGAUAAUGAGUCACAUUGGUUUUUCAUUUUUGUGUAAUUAACAUGUCUUAUGUGGAAACUUAUUGUUUUUAUUCUUGCAGGUCGUCAACGAGCUACUACUUCAUCUAUUUAGAGACACAAAGAGAGUUGUUAGAAAACGAAUUUUGGGCUCACUUCUGUUCAUUAGCUGAUUUUAGAAAAAAAAUUAUUGAUAACUUUGGUAAAUGUUUCUCAGAAUAAUGCAUUUUAAGGGUUUAAUUAAGGACGUAUAAAUUCUUUUGUCUUUUAU
Molecule: long non-coding RNA, 1828 nt
Filed under: Trifolium pratense (red clover)
Lineage: Eukaryota; Viridiplantae; Streptophyta; Magnoliopsida; Fabales; Fabaceae
Description: long non-coding RNA (TPRA_LNC000161)
Source: RNAcentral